CGCGAGCAGGGGCAGACGGAGGCGGCAGUCCAGGCGAGGCGCGUGCGGGGCGACGCACGGGCGCGCGGGUGUGGGACGACACGGGCGGCGGCGAGCUCCGGCGACGGGCGGCGGCGUCGAGCUCGGCUGGUCCCGGUCAGCUGCUGCAAGAGAUCUCAGAUCUGCUGGGGAAACGGGCUAAGGCAGAGCGGCGAGCUAGACGGCGAGCGAGCAGACGGCGGCACAAACGGCGGCGACGAGCGGCGGAGGGGGCGUGCGACGGCGGUGAACGGCGGAGGCGUGCGGCUUCUCCAACUUGCUGGUUGCUGGGUUUUCAAAGAAGAAGGAGAUGAAGAAGAUGGAGAUGGAGGAGUCGCACGGUAGAGAAGAAGAAGAGAGGGAGGAGAGAGAAGGAGG
Molecule: long non-coding RNA, 396 nt
Filed under: Eucalyptus grandis
Lineage: Eukaryota; Viridiplantae; Streptophyta; Magnoliopsida; Myrtales; Myrtaceae
Description: long non-coding RNA (EGRA_LNC006888)
Source: RNAcentral